GAUAGCCAUAAAUCACAAAGGGCUUAACAGUGCCCUCAGUAACUAGCCGUACAUCAUCAAUUCUGCUCCCGUAAAUUCCCCCCCAGAACAUGCCUUUUCCCACCAGCAAUAAAGCUCCUACACCCACAAACACAACACCCUCCCCCAAAAUUAAGCCCAGCUGUUUGGGCUCAUCCCA
RNAcentral lists this antisense RNA (178 nucleotides) under Anabaenopsis elenkinii. Its description in RNAcentral is "Antisense RNA which regulates isiA expression". It matches the Rfam family "Antisense RNA which regulates isiA expression". Lineage: Bacteria; Bacillati; Cyanobacteriota; Cyanophyceae; Nostocales; Nodulariaceae. The record is from Rfam by way of RNAcentral.